This 387-nucleotide unclassified non-coding RNA is filed under the name soil metagenome. Its description in RNAcentral is "partial contains 5.8S ribosomal RNA, internal transcribed spacer 2, and large subunit ribosomal RNA". The stretch from base 1 to 120 matches the Rfam family "5.8S ribosomal RNA", at positions 35 to 154 of the family's 154-position model. The record is from RNAcentral.
GAUGAAGAACGUAGCGAAAUGCGAUAAGUAAUGUGAAUUGCAGAAUUCAGUGAAUCAUCGAAUCUUUGAACGCACCUUGCACCCUUUGGCAUUCCGAAGGGUAUGCUCGUUUGAGUGUCAUUGUACUCUCACACUCUCCGAUCCUAUGGAUUCGGGGAGCGGUGGACUUGGGUGUUGCUGCCUUUCCCUGUGGCUCACCUCAAAUGCGUCAGUGCACCUCUUGGUUGGACAUAGUACGGCGUGAUAAGUGUCUUCGCCGGCACCGCGCAAGAGGGUGGCCGAUCGGGAGCUCUGCGCUUUCAAACCGUCUUCGGACAAUUUCUGACAUCUUGACCUCAAAUCGAGUAGGACUACCCGCUGAACUUAAGCAUAUCAAUAAGCGGAGGA